This 456-nucleotide ribosomal RNA is filed under the name Pseudomonas orientalis. RNAcentral describes it as "bacterial SSU rRNA". It matches the Rfam family "Bacterial small subunit ribosomal RNA", at positions 1 to 459 of the family's 1533-position model. The record is from RNAcentral. Lineage: Bacteria; Pseudomonadati; Pseudomonadota; Gammaproteobacteria; Pseudomonadales; Pseudomonadaceae.
GAACUGAAGAGUUUGAUCAUGGCUCAGAUUGAACGCUGGCGGCAGGCCUAACACAUGCAAGUCGAGCGGUAGAGAGAAGCUUGCUUCUCUUGAGAGCGGCGGACGGGUGAGUAAAGCCUAGGAAUCUGCCUGGUAGUGGGGGAUAACGUUCGGAAACGGACGCUAAUACCGCAUACGUCCUACGGGAGAAAGCAGGGGACCUUCGGGCCUUGCGCUAUCAGAUGAGCCUAGGUCGGAUUAGCUAGUUGGUGAGGUAAUGGCUCACCAAGGCGACGAUCCGUAACUGGUCUGAGAGGAUGAUCAGUCACACUGGAACUGAGACACGGUCCAGACUCCUACGGGAGGCAGCAGUGGGGAAUAUUGGACAAUGGGCGAAAGCCUGAUCCAGCCAUGCCGCGUGUGUGAAGAAGGUCUUCGGAUUGUAAAGCACUUUAAGUUGGGAGGAAGGGCAGUUAC